This is a long non-coding RNA of Prionailurus viverrinus (fishing cat), 2713 nucleotides long. RefSeq lists it as uncharacterized. NCBI's taxonomy places the organism in Eukaryota, Metazoa, Chordata, Mammalia, Carnivora, Felidae. The record is from RefSeq and is a predicted model, not a curated record. The transcript is spliced from 5 exons.
AGCAUGUGAAUAGAACAUGCAGUCAGGAAAGGUGGCCCCAGUGUGGAGAAACAAGGACAGAGCCGUCUGCAGAACGUGGACCGUGUGCAACUUUUUCAUCAGAAAGGCCACAUCUACACAAAAUGCAGGAAAGCCUGUGAGCCGGGGAGGAAGGCAUCCUGGAUGGCCAGCUGCACAGUCCAGAAUGAAAGGGGCCACGGAGCAGAUUGCUGUUUUAUGAGACUUCCAAGACAUGUCCGUGUUGUCUGGGACAGAAGUCCUCUGUUGGAUUAACAAUGUCCGCCAUGAGUAGAAGAGCAGGAGAUUGCUGACUACCCUUGAGACUGAGCAAACUUUCCUGUUUGGUAACCAUUUGGAUUUUCUCUUCUGUGAAAUGUCUAUUUAUAUCCUUUGACCAAUUAUUGGACAUUUAUGAUCAUUCUAGUUUGUUGUUAUAAAAGUUUUACGACUAACCUAAGUUUUAUCAUAGGUUGCUCUUGGUGGUAGUGGCGUGUGUUGUGCUCUAACACAGAUUUUUAGAAGCACAAUUGUUAGUGAACAUAGAUGUAUUUUGGGGGGCUUUUGACACAUACAAAACUGUCCUUAGGGAUGGUGUCAUUAGUUUACACACAUAUUUGCCAUGCACGGAAAGGCACGUGUCUGUUUGUAGCCUGUGAUACUGGGAAUAAUCUAUAGUAGUUUGAUAGUUUAAAAAUGGGUGUUCAUUUUCUGGUUCAUAUUUCUUACUUUUAAUUUACUAGUGAUGUUUACAAUUUUGUUUUAUUUAUUAGCUGUUGAUAUUCUGUCCUAUGUCUACUUCAUAUAUCAAAAAUCCUAGUCCCCCAUAUUAAACAUAAUAUCUGUCUACAUGUUAGAGAGGUAUAAUACAUUGCCACUCUGAAAUGUGAUUGCUUACGUAUAUUACAAAGUGUAACCACUUUAAUUGUUCUCUGACAGUGCCGAAACUACUGAGGUUCUUUAUUUGUUUGUUCAUUUAUUUGUUUGAAAUCAAGCUAGAAGCUUGGAUCUCCAAACUUCCCCUGUAUUUCUAGAACAUCAUGUGGUUCAUUAGAUUGUUCAAGCUUUUUAGCUUUCUAGCUCUUCCCUUCUGCCUCAAAUGAGCUACAUUUGAGCUGGAGUGUGUCUGUGUGUGUGUGAGGGGUCGGGGUGGUCAGACUGGCUUCAUUAUGGAAGAAUUUUAGAGAUUUUACAAAUAAAUUGAUCAGAGGGGUAUCUUUCAGGCUGCCAGAGCUAAAAGGAAGGUUGAAUCAGUUUCAGAUUAAGUCCUGUUUACUAAUUUAUCACCAGCUUAAGUUUGGAGGGUGCAGAAAUAGUUGCCUUGGAAUCUUGACUUGAGAAACAUGAUAAGGGACCCUAAUCCCAGCAGGUGAGCCUUUUAGGUGAAGAAUAGGAUGAAUAGUUAUGUGUUGUUCUUGCCCUGGGUAUUCGGAGGUGUUUUUACUAUUUAACCACAUAUUUUACGUGACCUUGCUGCAGACAUUGCUAACCUUGUUCCUUAUUAGAUGUGGACAAGAGGAUCCCUCUGCGAAGUCCAGGAAGCAGGUGCGGGGGCUGGGGAGGAGUGUCAGUUCCACACUGUGCUGCUGUAAUUUUAAUCCAGACAGAACCAGGAAAUUAGACUCAAGCUGAUGCAGUGAAACAGACAAAGCCACACACAUAGCUACCACACACGGCCUCUGAAGAGGACUGUUAGUUUGAAAGGCACUAUGACAUCGUGAUAAAGCAUCUGAGGAGAAAAGUCAUGAAAGCUUCACAAAUUCAUCGAGAUGCCCCAGGUUGAAGCUGGAGGGACCAGAGGAGUCCUUACAGAUGACAUCACCAAUGUUCCCACUCAGUUCUCCAAUAUAGGACAUCAUGAAGGGUCUUGGGGCCAAAGACCUGACGAGGUAACACUGUAUGUUGAUGGACCUGGAGAGUUCUCUGAUAUGCUUCACAAGCACCUGGAGUGUAGGUGGCUGCUCAAGGAUUAGGGGAUUUACAGUGCUAACACAUUUCAUAAAGCCAAGUUCCAAAAACAAAUAAAAUGAAAUGUCAAGACUUUUGAGUUAUCCUCUGUUUUUAUUUAUCUAUGUCUUAGAGCUCUAUUAUUACAGCUCUUUCAUCUCUGUGUGAUUCAGUGAUCUACUUUGAUUCAGCUAGAAUUUCCUGGGUGCCAAUACGUUCGAGGAAUAGCACUAGCUGCCUUGGCCGGGGGAGUGGAAAAUCCCAGGUGAUUCAGACAUAGCCCCAAAUGUGAGGGUUGUAACAGCUAAUUGAAGGAGAGUCUAAAUAAUACUGUGUUUUGUAAUAUAGCUCAAUAAAGGCCUGAAAAUAUAGAAUAAGAAAAAAACCUUGUACUGAGUGAAUUGAGGAGAAAACAGGAAGGAUUUUGACAGGUAGACUUGAGGAGUUGAGAGAAUUUCACAGCAUAGUCAUUGGUUUUCUGCUUGAAUGAUAUUAAGAAACAUUGGAUGUGUUAUGCUUUACAUCUAACUAGAUCUGUGGCUCUUCUCCCCAAAUUCCCUUUUCUAUGUCACUAAUAUAUCUGGAAAUUACUUUCACUGUUAUUUUCUUUUUUAUCACAAGGCAUAGCUAUAAUGCUGUGUGCAAUAUACUACUAAAGCAUAAAUUCAUAUUCCUUAAAUACAUUUUUCCUUUAGCUAAAAUGAGUAGGGGGAGCAAUGAUGAGCAAGUAUGUACAGAUUGAUAAGAAAUUAUUAUCAGAAGCGAUGCU